RNAcentral lists this transfer RNA (71 nucleotides) under Bacteroidota bacterium. Its description in RNAcentral is "Bacteroidetes bacterium tRNA-Gln". It matches the Rfam family "tRNA". From Rfam's summary of the family: Transfer RNA (tRNA) molecules are approximately 80 nucleotides in length. Lineage: Bacteria; Pseudomonadati; Bacteroidota. The record is from RNAcentral. RNAcentral also lists the same sequence under 2 other names.
AGACCUGUGGUGUAAUGGUAACACAGCAGAUUUUGGUUCUGUUAUUCUUGGUUCGAGUCCAGGCAGGUCUA